AUAUUUCUUUUUUCCAUUUCCAGAUUAGUUACAUACAGUGCGGAAGUGCUAAUUGAGAUAUUUAUUAAAAUUUGCAUACAAAUUUUUUGUUUGUCCAGAAAAAUUGGCCGCUGUGGCUACAAAGUCUCUGGUCCCAUAGAGAAAAAGGAAAGCUCUAAAGUCAAUUCAGAAAAUGUUUGUCACUUGUUUCUUUGGGAUCUCUCUCUCUAUCAUCUUAUCAUCAUAUCAUCGGCCUCGUCCUCUCUAUCUCUAGCAUAGCAGCUUCCUUCUUCAUCGUUCCCCCGUGAAAGCUAUAUUCUGUUUUUAUUAUAAAACACUCUCUAUGUUAAUGUAAUGUAACAUCCACAUAUACAAAAACCAUCAGUUUCUUUCGUACACAUUUCCUUAUUCAUGCUCUUUGUUCAAAUAUAACAUUUCGGCGCUAGUAAAAGCAACAGUGUGAUUCGGAGACCAACAACAUAUAUAUACAUAUACUUUAUAGUAAUUAUUAUUGGAUUAGAAUUAAACUAUACUACUAAUUGUCCAAGUACUAUAGUUAAAUUAAAUGAAAGUGGGCUCUCAGACAAAUCAAAAAGACAAAAUCAAAGUCACUAAACAAAGUGGCCAUGUGCCACUGCUCAUAAAAGUCUAGCUACUCUCUCUCUCUCUCUCUCUCUUAAGUCUUAACAGAUUCCCUGAUUCCUCUUUCAUUAUAUAUUACUUUAUAAUAAUCUUCUCCUAAUCACCCAAUCUCUGUUUAUUUUAAGUUAUAAUUUCAACUGUCUCGUCUCGAGAAACAGCGUCAUCCCAUCUGUUUAUCUACAUUUUAAAAAUCAUUAUAAUAAAUACUAUAGCAUAUAGUACAUGAUGAUGUAAUGUACGUAACUCUAUCUAACCUAAAAUGAAUCAUGUUAUGUUAUAUAGGGGUAAGAAAAAAGUAGAUAAAAUUACCAUGUUAUGAGGAUGAGGGUAGUAAUAAUACAUGUUUUGGCCGUAGUAACCGUCGGGAGAUUCAACUGCGGCGGCGGCGGCGG
RNAcentral lists this long non-coding RNA (1013 nucleotides) under Capsella grandiflora. Its description in RNAcentral is "long non-coding RNA (CGRA_LNC001430)". Lineage: Eukaryota; Viridiplantae; Streptophyta; Magnoliopsida; Brassicales; Brassicaceae. The record is from RNAcentral.